Macaca fascicularis (crab-eating macaque) is the source of this 117-nucleotide unclassified non-coding RNA. It matches the Rfam family "Metazoan signal recognition particle RNA". Rfam says of the family: The signal recognition particle (SRP) is a universally conserved ribonucleoprotein. The record is from Ensembl. Lineage: Eukaryota; Metazoa; Chordata; Mammalia; Primates; Cercopithecidae.
GCUGGGUGUGGUGGCUCACACCUGUAAUCCCAGCACUUUGGGAGGCUGAGGUGGGUGGAUCACCUGAGGUCAGGAGUUCGAGACUAGCCUGGCCAACAUGGUGAAACCCCCUCUCUA